UUACACAUGCAAGUCGAACGGCAGCACGGACUUCGGUCUGGUGGCGAGUGGCGAACGGGUGAGUAAUACAUCGGAACGUGCCUAGUAGUGGGGGAUAACUACUCCAAAGAGUGGCUAAUACCGCAUGAGAUCUACGGAUGAAAGCAGGGGAUCGCAAGACCUUGUGCUACUAGAGCGGCUGAUGGCAGAUUAGGUAGUUGGUGGGAUAAAAGCUUACCAAGCCGACGAUCUGUAUCUGGUCUGAGAGGACGAUCAGCCACACUGGGACUGAGACACGGCCCAGACUCCUACUGGAGGCAGCAGUGGGGAAUUUUGGACAAUGGGCGCAAGCCUGAUCCAGCAAUGCCGCGUGCAGGAUGAAGGCCUUCGGGUUGUAAACUGCUUUUGUACGGAACGAAAAGCUUCGGGCUAAUACCCUGGAGUCAUGACGGUACCGUAAGAAUAAGCACCGGCUAACUACGUGCC
RNAcentral lists this ribosomal RNA (465 nucleotides) under uncultured bacterium. RNAcentral describes it as "bacterial SSU rRNA". It matches the Rfam family "Bacterial small subunit ribosomal RNA", at positions 49 to 509 of the family's 1533-position model. The record is from RNAcentral.